AAGGAUCAUUGUCGAUGCCUCAAUCCAGAGAGACCCGCGGACACGUUUCAACACCCGGGGCAGGGGGAGCUGCCGAGCAGCUCGCCUCCCCGAAGAGUCGGGACGGAGCCGCGCCCCGCGGACUCCCGCCCCGGCGCAACAACCAACAAACCCCGGCGCGGAAUGCGCCAAGGAAUCAACAAUCGCAGAGCGCGGCCCGUCGACCCGGCAACGGUGCUCGUGCGGGGCGACGCCGCAACACUCGAGUCCAAAACGACUCUCGUCGAUGAAGAACGCAGCGAAAUGCGAUACUUGGUGUGAAUUGCAGAAUCCCGUGAACCAUCGAGUCUUUGAACGCAAGUUGCGCCCGAAGCCAUCAGGCCAAGGGCACGCCUGCCUGGGCGUCACCAAUCGCCGCCCCAACCCCCGUGGCUCCGGCCACGGAGCGGGGCGAAUGCUGGCUUCCCGUGAGCACCGCCUCGCGGCUGGCUGAAAAUCGGGUUCGCGGUGGAGGAAGCGCCAUGACAGACGGUGGUUGAGCGUGCUCUCGAGGCCAGUCAUGCGGGCGGCCUCCACCAGCUCCGCACCCAGCGACCCGCGAGCGAUGUCGAUCGCCCAAGACGCGACCUCAGGUCAGGC
RNAcentral lists this unclassified non-coding RNA (618 nucleotides) under Dalbergia sissoo. RNAcentral describes it as "partial contains 18S rRNA, ITS1, 5.8S rRNA and ITS2". The stretch from base 257 to 386 matches the Rfam family "5.8S ribosomal RNA", at positions 27 to 154 of the family's 154-position model. The record is from RNAcentral. Lineage: Eukaryota; Viridiplantae; Streptophyta; Magnoliopsida; Fabales; Fabaceae.